GUGUUGUAUGAAAGGAGAGACGGUUAGCACUCCCCUAGACAAGGAUGGAAUACACACAUAAUGGGUAGGCACUGCUGCCUAUGUCAGCUCUAUCCACAUUUUUUU
Small nuclear RNA from Bacillus rossius redtenbacheri, 105 nucleotides. The record is from RefSeq and is a predicted model, not a curated record. NCBI's taxonomy places the organism in Eukaryota, Metazoa, Arthropoda, Insecta, Phasmatodea, Bacillidae.